This 829-nucleotide ribosomal RNA is filed under the name Dactylonectria vitis. RNAcentral describes it as "eukaryotic LSU rRNA". It matches the Rfam family "Eukaryotic large subunit ribosomal RNA", at positions 74 to 935 of the family's 3401-position model. The record is from RNAcentral. Lineage: Eukaryota; Fungi; Ascomycota; Sordariomycetes; Hypocreales; Nectriaceae.
AUUGCCCUAGUAACGGCGAGUGAAGCGGCAACAGCUCAAAUUUGAAAUCUGGCCUUCGGGUCCGAGUUGUAAUUUGUAGAGGAUGCUUUUGGUGAGGUGCCUUCCGAGUUCCCUGGAACGGGACGCCAUAGAGGGUGAGAGCCCCGUCUGGUUGGACACCGAUCCUCUGUAAAGCUCCUUCAACGAGUCGAGUAGUUUGGGAAUGCUGCUCUAAAUGGGAGGUAUAUGUCUUCUAAAGCUAAAUAUUGGCCAGAGACCGAUAGCGCACAAGUAGAGUGAUCGAAAGAUGAAAAGCACUUUGAAAAGAGAGUUAAAAAGUACGUGAAAUUGUUGAAAGGGAAGCGCUCAUGACCAGACUUGGGCUUGGUUGAUCAUCCAGGGUUCUCCCUGGUGCACUCUUCCAGUUCAGGCCAGCAUCAGUUCGCUGCGGGGGAUAAAGGCUUUGGGAAUGUGGCUCCCUCGGGAGUGUUAUAGCCCAUUGCGUAAUACCCUGUGGUGGACUGAGGACCGCGCUUCGGCAAGGAUGCUGGCGUAAUGGUCAUCAGUGACCCGUCUUGAAACACGGACCAAGGAGUCGUCUUCGUAUGCGAGUGUUCGGGUGUUAAACCCCUACGCGUAAUGAAAGUGAACGCAGGUGAGAGCUUCGGCGCAUCAUCGACCGAUCCUGAUGUUCUCGGAUGGAUUUGAGUAAGAGCAUACGGGGCCGGACCCGAAAGAAGGUGAACUAUGCCUGUAUAGGGUGAAGCCAGAGGAAACUCUGGUGGAGGCUCGCAGCGGUUCUGACGUGCAAAUCGAUCGUCAAAUAUGGGCAUGGGGGCGAAAGACUAAU